UCCGUCAAACUUUAACCCUAAAACGACUUCCACCUCCGAUUUCCUUCUAUUAUCUUAUUCUCUCUGUUCUCCUUCGCCGGCUCACCAGACAAAACAGAUGAAGAAAUAACCGAAUACCCAAAUCAAAAGUGCAAGCAGCCCGAUAUCAAUUAUUUCAAUUAUUUGGUUCGAAUGUCGUGCUUAUUGAUUCAUCUUUCUUUUGAGUUUAAUUUAACCAGCUAAGUAUUCAAAGGAGCCCGAUAAUCCCACUAAGUGCAAGCAUCUCUAAUCUUUUGUGUCUUAUUCCUUUUGUUAUGUUUUCGCAGUUGAAGGGUUUUGGAUGAGUUUAGUUUCUGAUUGGUGUUUAUGAUGUUCUCUAUUUCAGCCUGCAAGGCUAGGGUUCUGCUCUCCGUGUUCAAUUCAAGGUCUAUUGGUUACUUUUUAUUUGGAAAUUUGGGGAUUUAGAGUUUGGUUCUCGAGCAACUCCUUCAACUCCCGCGACUCCAUCAACUCCAUUAACACCAACAGGAUCAAGAGGAUGGGGCCAGAAAAAUGGGGAGUUUUGAAUCCAGCAUUCAGGAUGUGUGCCAAUGAGAAAGCACAAUCCCCUAUAAACAUUUUGACGAAAGAUUGUAUGUUUAAUGCAAAAUUAGGACCACUGGUUAGAGAAUUCACUCCACCAGUGGUACAUUAAUCAACAAAUGCUAUAAUAUUGGGUUGGAAUAUUCGAGUGGAUGUGGAAGCGCCAUGGUAGAUUGGAAGAAAUUCCCCCUGAAAUCGAUGCAUUGGCAUUCACCAUCUAAACACACCAUUGAUGGAACUCGUUUCCCUCUGGAGCUUCUUCUGGUGCAUGCAUCGGCAGAAGGGAGUAUAUCAGUUGUAUCAAUGAACAAUCCUAUACCAAUACGGAAAACCCGACCUAAUCUCACUGAGCUUAAGAGCACUAUAGAUCAACUAGAAGGGAUACAAUGCGCUCCCACUGAGGAAAUUUAUCUUCCAGUAGGGGUACCCUGGAGAUGAUUUUCGUAGUCCUGAUGAAUACAACUUUGAGUGUCUUUCAGUGAAUACUAUGACAUGCUACCUACAUCGUGUUUGUUACUUAGCGGGGGCUUGAAGAGGUUACAAAUGAGUUCAAGGAACAAUUAGGAAGAAGUGCUUUUGGCAUGGGUCAUUGAGAAAUGAGUAUAGCAAAUUCAAUUGCAGUAAAGAAGUUACACAAGUUGUUUGAAGAAAGUGGAAAGGAAUCUAAAAACGAAGUGGAUGUUUAUAAUUUCGGUGAAAUGCUACUUGAGAUCAUAUGUUGCAGGAUAGAAGUUUAAUUGGAAGUGGAAGAGGAAAAGAUAAAAGUUGCCUAUAAGUACUUCCAGGUCCUUCAGUGUCCAUCAGUACAUAAAUAACUAUUUUCUCUUUACCUUAUCAUCAUCACCUUACCCUACUGCGACCAGCCACCUCCAGGCCAUCCAUAUUACGGAGAAGACGCAAAUAUAUUUUUUUUUUCGAAAUCUAUGCCUACUGCUCUUGCACUUUCCAAGUGGAAUACUACUGUUCAGGACUGAACAAUCCUAACAUUUCUAAGACUGGGCUAAGGUUCUGUUGCACGUAAGAAGAUUGUUAAGCCCGGUGCGUACUUGGUAAAAGGACAUGAUUCUUAGAAAUAACAUAUUUGGGUUUUGCUUCUGGGAUUGGUUCUCCUACUGGCAGCUGGUACUUUAUAUAAUAUAGAAGCACGAAAUGAUAUUGUUGUUCCAACUGGGUAGAGGAGCAGCCUUACUUUGUUAUUUUCCAGUAUCAUAUCGACGGCCAAACCUGCCACUGGGGGUGUGGAAGCUGCCAAGGGAAAUGGGGUAGGAAAGAAAGGAAAGAACCCAAGUCGAGUCCUUUUGUCAAAGGAAGGUGGUCGUCGCUAUUAAAGACUUUGCUGAAGGUCUCCCCAUUCAUAAUUGUGCUCAUUUUAGCGUUUUUGUUUUAUUUCUCCGUUUUAUUUCUCCGCUCACCUUUUGCUUGAAAGAUUGUAUGUAAAUUUAAAUCAUCCUGUAUGAGAGAAAAUUGAGCAAACUGAUGUAUUAUUAAAAUAAUUUGAGCACAAAAUAUAAAAUCCUUGGCAUUUAUUAGGA
Molecule: long non-coding RNA, 2093 nt
Organism: Papaver somniferum (opium poppy)
Lineage: Eukaryota; Viridiplantae; Streptophyta; Magnoliopsida; Ranunculales; Papaveraceae
Exons: 6
Source: RefSeq, a predicted model, not a curated record